Molecule: ribosomal RNA, 433 nt
Filed under: uncultured bacterium
Lineage: Bacteria
Description: partial 16S ribosomal RNA
Rfam family: Bacterial small subunit ribosomal RNA
Source: RNAcentral
AACGAACGCUGGCGGCAUGCCUAACACAUGCAAGUCGAACGAGACCUUCGGGUCUAGUGGCGCACGGGUGCGUAACGCGUGGGAACCUGCCCUUAGGUUCGGAAUAACUCCCCGACAGGGGUGCUAAUACCGGAUAAUGUCCUCGGACCAAAGAUUUAUCGCCUUUGGAUGGGCCCGCGUUGGAUUAGCUAGUUGGUAGGGUAAAAGCCUACCACGGCGACGAUCCAUAGCUGGUCUGAGAGGAUGAUCAGCCACACUGGGACUGAGACACGGCCCAGACUCCUACGGGAGGCAGCAGUGGGGAAUAUUGGAAAAUGGGCGAAAGCCUGAUCCGGCAAUGCCGCGUGAGUGAUGAAGGCCUUAGGGUUGUAAAGCUCUUUUACCCGGGAUGAUAAUGACAGUACCGGGAGAAUAAGCUCCGGCUAACUCCGUG